CCUACGGGCGGCAGCAGUGAGGAAUAUUGGUCAAUGGACGAGAGUCUGAACCAGCCAAGUAGCGUGAAGGAUGACUGCCCUAUGGGUUGUAAACUUCUUUUAUAGAGGAAUAAAAUGAUGCACGUGUGCCUUUUUGUAUGUACCUUAUGAUUAAGGAUCGGCUAACUCUGUGUCAGCAGCCGCGGUAAUACGGAGGGUCAGAGCGUUAUCCGGAUUUAUUGGGUUUAAAGGGAGCGUAGGUGGGUUGUUAAGUCAGUUGGGAAAGUUUGCGGCUCAACCGUAAAAUUGCAGUUGAUACUGGCAGUCUUGAGUACAGUAGAGGUGGGCGGAAUUCGUGGUGUAGCGGUGAAAUGCUUAGAUAUCACGAAGAACUCCGAUUGCGAAGGCAGCUCACUGGACUGCAACUGACACUGAGGCUCGAAAGUGUGGGUAUCAAACAGGAUUAGAUACCCGAGUAGUC
RNAcentral lists this ribosomal RNA (460 nucleotides) under uncultured bacterium. Its description in RNAcentral is "partial 16S ribosomal RNA". It matches the Rfam family "Bacterial small subunit ribosomal RNA", at positions 338 to 795 of the family's 1533-position model. The record is from RNAcentral.